Molecule: ribosomal RNA, 478 nt
Filed under: uncultured bacterium
Lineage: Bacteria
Description: partial 16S ribosomal RNA
Rfam family: Bacterial small subunit ribosomal RNA
Source: RNAcentral
GACGAACGCUGGCGGCGUGCUUAACACAUGCAAGUCGAGCGAUGAAGCUCCUUCGGGAGUGGAUUAGCGGCGGACGGGUGAGUAACACGUGGGCAACCUGCCUUAUAGAGAGGAAUAGCCAUCCGAAAGGAUGAUUAAUACCUCAUAAUAUUGUAGCUUCGCAUGGAGCAACAAUCAAAGGAGCAAUCCACUAUAAGAUGGGCCCGCGGCGCAUUAGCUAGUUGGUGAGGUAACGGCUCACCAAGGCGACGAUGCGUAGCCGACCUGAGAGGGUGAUCGGCCACAUUGGGACUGAGACACGGCCCAGACUCCUACGGGAGGCAGCAGUGGGGAAUAUUGCACAAUGGGGGAAACCCUGAUGCAGCAACGCCGCGUGAGUGAUGACGGCCUUCGGGUUGUAAAGCUCUGUCUUCAGGGACGAUAAUGACGGUACCUGAGUAGGAAGCCACGGCUAACUACGUGCCAGCAGCCGCAGUAA